Molecule: ribosomal RNA, 460 nt
Filed under: uncultured bacterium
Lineage: Bacteria
Description: partial 16S ribosomal RNA
Rfam family: Bacterial small subunit ribosomal RNA
Source: RNAcentral
CCUACGGGCGGCAGCAGUGAGGAAUAUUGGUCAAUGGACGAGAGUCUGAACCAGCCAAGUCGCGUGAGGGAAGACUGCCCUACGGGUUGUAAACCUCUUUUAUAUGGGAGCAAAAUGCUCCUCGUGUCCUCUUUUGUAUGUACCUUACGAAUAAGCAUCGGCUAACUCCGUGCCAGCAGCCGCGGUAAUUCGGAGGAUCCGAGCGUUAUCCGGAUUUAUUGGGUUUAAAGGGUGCGUAGGCGGGUUGUUAAGUCAGCUGUGAAAGUUUGCGGCUCAACCCUACAGUUGCAGUUGAAACUGGCAGGCUUGAGUGCGGUAGAGGUAGGCGGAAUGCGUGGUGUAGCGGUGAAAUGCAUAGAUAUCACGAAGAACUCCGAUUGCGAAGGCAGCUCACUGGAGUGCAACUGACGCUGAGGCACGAAAGUGUGGGUAUCGAACAGGAUUAGAUACCCUAGUAGUC